Molecule: ribosomal RNA, 112 nt
Filed under: Nostoc spongiaeforme FACHB-130
Lineage: Bacteria; Bacillati; Cyanobacteriota; Cyanophyceae; Nostocales; Nostocaceae
Description: partial 16S ribosomal RNA
Rfam family: Bacterial small subunit ribosomal RNA
Source: RNAcentral
AAAACGGAGAGUUUGAUCCUGGCUCAGGAUGAACGCUGGCGGUAUGCUUAACACAUGCAAGUCGAACGGAAUCUUAGGAUUUAGUGGCGGACGGGUGAGUAACGCGUGAGAA